UAGAGUUUGAUUAUGGCUCAGAUUGAACGCUGGCGGCAUGCCUUACACAUGCAAGUCGAACGGCAGCGCGGGGCAACCUGGCGGCGAGUGGCGAACGGGUGAGUAAUAUAUCGGAACGUGCCCUGGAGUGGGGGAUAACGCAGCGAAAGUUGCGCUAAUACCGCAUACGAUCUAAGGAUGAAAGCAGGGGACCGCAAGGCCUUGUGCUCCUGGAGCGGCCGAUAUCUGAUUAGCUAGUUGGUGGGGUAAAGGCCUACCAAGCCGACGAUCUGUAGCUGGUUGAGAGGACGACCAGCCACACUGGGACUGAGACACGGCCCAGACUCCUACGGGAGGCAGCAGUGGGGAAUUUUGGACAAUGGGCGCAAGCCUGAUCCAGCCAUGCCGCGUGCGGGAAGAAGGCCUUCGGGUUGUAAACCGCUUUUGUCAGGGAAGAAAUCCUUUGGGUUAAUACCUCGGAGGGAUGACGGUACCUGAAGAAUAAGCACCGGCUAACUACGUGCCAGCAGCCGCGGAAUAC
Molecule: ribosomal RNA, 520 nt
Filed under: uncultured Roseateles sp.
Lineage: Bacteria; Pseudomonadati; Pseudomonadota; Betaproteobacteria; Burkholderiales; Sphaerotilaceae
Description: bacterial SSU rRNA
Rfam family: Bacterial small subunit ribosomal RNA
Source: RNAcentral